Molecule: long non-coding RNA, 807 nt
Organism: Prionailurus viverrinus (fishing cat)
Lineage: Eukaryota; Metazoa; Chordata; Mammalia; Carnivora; Felidae
Exons: 6
Source: RefSeq, a predicted model, not a curated record
GCCGCCGCCGUCGCCGCGCUUCCGGUGAGGAGCCGCCGCCGCCGCACAUCUGGUGAGGAGCCGCCGCGGCCCCGCUUCCGGUGACGACCCGGCGCCGCAGACGCCGCGCUUCCGGUUUUCCAAUGGAGCCAGAGGCCAGGAAGGAGAUGGGCCUUAUGCACAUCCUCACCGGUAGGAGAAGCACAAAUGUUGGAACCGGGCCAAACACCUGCAGCUUGCUACAGUGAGAGACCCCGCUUAGUGAUAGCCUUAGAAACCAGAGGAACUUCAGCGGGGGGCUGGAUUGCAGGCACUGUCGCUGAAGGGGAAAAGGGUUCUUGGAGCCAUUUUUCAAGACCAGGUGGUGAAUACCCGACAGUACUUGGAACAUGUGAAAGACUCCACAACAGGAAUGCAAGGUAGAGUGGUGAAGCUAUUCACCAACCAUUUCCGAGUGACCUCUCGCCCUCAACUCCUCACGUAUAAGUACAACAUUGAUUACAUGCCAGAGGUUGAAGAUGGAAAAGUUCGUACAGAUUUGCUCUGCCAGCAUAAACAUGUAAUUGGAGAGUGUCCCACAUUAGAUGGGAACUCUUUAUUACUGCCUCAUAAACUACAAAAGCAGGAAUUUUGAAGAUGAUGGAUUUGAAGCAAGUUGGUCGCAACUAUUACAACGAGAAUGAGGCCACGGAGUUCCUCAAUCACCAGACAUUUUAAGCUGAAGAGCGUGGAUGUAAAGCUGCUUGGCCAGCAUCAUCUUAGGAGUCCUCGACUUUAUUCUUGCUUCCCAAUUUCAAAAUUUACGACAAAGCUCUCGGAAUCAGGACA